GRGAGWAGCUGAAGGUACUWWACGAAUAAGCACCGSCUAAYUCCGUGCCAGCAGCSGCGGUAAUACGGAGGGUGCAAGCGUUAUCSGGAUUUAUUGGGUUUAAAGGGUCCGUAGGCGGAUCUGUAAGUCAGUGGUGAAAUCUCACAGCUUAACUGUGAAACUGCCAUUGAUACUGCAGGUCUUGAGUGUUGUUGAAGUAGCUGGAAUAAGUAGUGUAGCGGUGAAAUGCAUAGAUAUUUACUUAGAACACCAAUUGCGAAGGCAGGUUACUAAGCAACAACUGACGCUGAUGGACGAAAGCGUGGGGAGCGAACAGGAUUAGAUACCCUGGUAGUCCACGCCGUAAACGAUGCUAACUCGUUUUUGGGUUUUCGGAUUCAGAGACUAAGCGAAAGUGAUAAGUUAGCCACCUGGGGAGUACGAACGCAAGUUUGAAACUCAAAGGAAUUGACGGGGGCCCGCACAAGCGGUGGAUUAUGUGGUUUAAUUCGAUGAUACGCGAGGAACCUUACCAAGGCUUAAAUGGGAAAUGACAGGCUUAGAAAUAGGCUUUUCUUCGGACAUUUUUCAAGGUGCUGCAUGGUUGUCGUCAGCUCGUGCCGUGAGGUGUUAGGUUAAGUCCUGCAACGAGCGCAACCCCUGUCACUAGUUGCCAUCAUUAAGUUGGGGACUCUAGUGAGACUGCCUACGCAAGUAGAGAGGAAGGUGGGGAUGACGUCAAAUCAUCACGGCCCYUACGCCUUGGGCCACACACGUAAUACAAUGGCCGGUACAGAGGGCAGCUACACUGCGAAGUGAUGCAAAUCUSGAAAGCCGGUCUCAGUUCGGAUUGGAGUCUGCAACUCGACUCUAUGAAGCUGGAAUCGCUAGUAAUCGCSCMUCAGCCAUGGCGCGGUGAAUACGUUCCCGGGCCUUGUACAGCCCYCCCCUCAAGCCMUGGAAGUCUGGSSU
This 951-nucleotide ribosomal RNA is filed under the name Chryseobacterium sp. Its description in RNAcentral is "bacterial SSU rRNA". It matches the Rfam family "Bacterial small subunit ribosomal RNA", at positions 461 to 1418 of the family's 1533-position model. Lineage: Bacteria; Pseudomonadati; Bacteroidota; Flavobacteriia; Flavobacteriales; Weeksellaceae. The record is from RNAcentral.